GAUGGAACGUGGCAGUGAGACAGUGGGGGAUAAGCUUCAUUGUCGAGAGGGAAACAACCCAGACCAGCAGCUAAGGUGCCUAAAUAACGCUCAGUGGAAAGGAUGUGGGAUUACACAGACAGUGAGGAUGUUGGCUUAGAAGCAGCCACCAUUUAAAAAAUGCGUAAUAGCUUACUCAUCGAGUGAUCCUGCGCCGAAAAUGAUUGGCGAUCAAGCGUUAUACCGAAGCUCUGGACUUUGCCGCAAGGCAGAGUGGUAGAAGAGCGUUGCAUGCGCGUCGAAGGGCGAUGGCGACUGACCCUGGAGCACAUGCAAGUGAGUAUGCAGACAUGAGUAACGUUAAGCCGGGUGAAAUCCCCGGCCGCCGUAAACCCGAGGUUUCCAGGGCAACGUGUUUCGUCCCUGGGUUAGCCGGGACCUAAGCCGAGGCCGAGAGGCGUAGGCGAUGGACAUCAGGUUAAUAAUCCUGAGCUCGCAACCCUUAAACUGGGGGGACGCAUGAGAAAAGAUGACUAGGUUAUUGAAUUCCGAGUUGAGUCCACGGACUCAGCGCAUCAUUGGAUCGAGUGCCAAGAAAAGCCCCAGCGUAUGCUAAGCGACCCGUACCGCAAACCGACACAGGUGGGUGGGUAGAAUAUACCAAGGCGUAAGAGUGAAACCUGGUUAAGGAACUCGGCAAAUUAGCCCCGUAACUUCGGAAGAAGGGGUGCCUGCAGCGAUGCAGGCCGCAGAGAAAUGGCCCAACCGACUGUUUAUCAAAAACACAGCACUCUGCAAAGACGCAAGUCGAAGUAUAGGGUGUGACACGUGACCAAUGCCGAAAGAUUAAGGCAAGGGGUUAGCCGCAAGGCGAAGCUCUAAACCCAAGUCCCGGUGAAUGUCGGCCGUAACUAUAACGGUCCUAAGGUAGCGAAAUUCCUUGUCGGGUAAGUUCCGACCUGCACGAAUCGUGAAACGAGUUGGGCACUGUCUCAACCAGGCGCUCAGUGAAAUUGUAGUGGCGGUGAAGAUGCCGCCUACCCGCAGAAGGACGGAAAGACCCUAUAGACCUUAACUGUAAGCUGUCAUUGUUUCUUCGGUUUUAAUGCUCAGAGUAAGUGGGAGACGCUGAAGACGCCCUUUAGGGGGCGUCCGAGUCAUCAAUGAGACACCACCCUUUGAAACUGGAGGAUCUAACCCUGAGCCGUGAAUCCGGCCAGAGGACCGUGUCAGCCGGUCAGUUUUACUGGGGCGGUAUCCUCCCAAAGAGUAACGGAGGAGCGCGAAGGUGGGCUCAGCCCGGUUGGCAACCGGGUGUCGAGUGCAUGGGCAUAAGCCCGCCUAACUGUGAGACCAACAAGUCGAGCAGAUGCGAAAGCAGGCCCAAGUGAUCCGGCGGUAGAAAGUGGAAUUGCCGUCGCU
Molecule: ribosomal RNA, 1401 nt
Filed under: human gut metagenome
Description: bacterial LSU rRNA
Rfam family: Bacterial large subunit ribosomal RNA
Source: RNAcentral